GUGGGUGUAGCUCAGUUGGUUAGAGCGCCAGGUUGUGGCCCUGGAGGUCGUGGGUUCGACUCCCAUCACUCACCCCA
RNAcentral lists this transfer RNA (77 nucleotides) under Bacillota bacterium. RNAcentral describes it as "tRNA-His". It matches the Rfam family "tRNA". Rfam says of the family: Transfer RNA (tRNA) molecules are approximately 80 nucleotides in length. Their secondary structure includes four short double-helical elements and three loops (D, anti-codon, and T loops). Lineage: Bacteria; Bacillati; Bacillota. RNAcentral also lists the same sequence under 3 other names. The record is from RNAcentral.